GCUGGCGGCAUGCUUAACACAUGCAAGUCGAACGGUAGCACAGAGAGCUUGCUCUCGGGUGACGAGUGGCGGACGGGUGAGUAAUGUCUGGGAAACUGCCUGAUGGAGGGGGAUAACUACUGGAAACGGUAGCUAAUACCGCAUAAUGUCGCAAGACCAAAGAGGGGGACCUUCGGGCCUCUUGCCAUCAGAUGUGCCCAGAUGGGAUUAGCUAGUAGGUGGGGUAACGGCUCACCUAGGCGACGAUCCCUAGCUGGUCUGAGAGGAUGACCAGCCACACUGGAACUGAGACACGGUCCAGACUCCUACGGGAGGCAGCAGUGGGGAAUAUUGCACAAUGGGCGCAAGCCUGAUGCAGCCAUGCCGCGUGUAUGAAGAAGGCCUUCGGGUUGUAAAGUACUUUCAGCGGGGAGGAAGGUGUUGUGGUUAAUAACCGCAGCAAUUGACGUUACCCGCAGAAGAAGCACCGGCUAACUCCGUGCCAGCAGCCGCGGUAAUACGGAGGGUGCAAGCGUUAAUCGGAAUUACUGGGCGUAAAGCGCACGCAGGCGGUCUGUCAAGUCGGAUGUGAAAUCCCCGGGCUCAACCUGGGAACUGCAUUCGAAACUGGCAGGCUAGAGUCUUGUAGAGGGGGGUAGAAUUCCAGGUGUAGCGGUGAAAUGCGUAGAGAUCUGGAGGAAUACCGGUGGCGAAGGCGGCCCCCUGGACAAAGACUGACGCUCAGGUGCGAAAGCGUGGGGAGCAAACAGGAUUAGAUACCCUGGUAGUCCACGCCGUAAACGAUGUCGAUUUGGAGGUUGUGCCCUUGAGGCGUGGCUUCCGGAGCUAACGCGUUAAAUCGACCGCCUGGGGAGUACGGCCGCAAGGUUAAAACUCAAAUGAAUUGACGGGGGCCCGCACAAGCGGUGAGCAUGUGGUUUAAUUCGAUGCAACGCGAAGAACCUUACCUGGUCUUGACAUCCACAGAACUUUCCAGGAGAUGGAAUGCUGCCUUCGGGAACUGUGAGACAGGUGCUGCA
Molecule: ribosomal RNA, 1019 nt
Filed under: Enterobacter cloacae
Lineage: Bacteria; Pseudomonadati; Pseudomonadota; Gammaproteobacteria; Enterobacterales; Enterobacteriaceae
Description: bacterial SSU rRNA
Rfam family: Bacterial small subunit ribosomal RNA
Source: RNAcentral